UACAGAGGUCUCAACCGUUGUUCGGAUUCAUUGGGCGUAAAGGGCGCGUAGGCGGCUCAUACAGUCAGGCGUGAAAUUCCUGGGCUCAACCUGGGGACUGCGCUUGAGACGUGUGGGCUUGAGUGGGGAAGAGGGUCGUGGAAUUCCCAGUGUAGAGGUGAAAUUCGUAGAUAUUGGGAAGAACACCGGUGGCGAAGGCGGCGACCUGGUCCUUGACUGACGCUGAGGCGCGAAAGCGUGGGGAGCAAACAGG
Molecule: ribosomal RNA, 253 nt
Filed under: uncultured bacterium
Lineage: Bacteria
Description: partial 16S ribosomal RNA
Rfam family: Bacterial small subunit ribosomal RNA
Source: RNAcentral